Pteronotus mesoamericanus is the source of this 365-nucleotide long non-coding RNA. RefSeq lists it as uncharacterized. The record is from RefSeq and is a predicted model, not a curated record. Lineage: Eukaryota; Metazoa; Chordata; Mammalia; Chiroptera; Mormoopidae. The transcript has 4 exons.
CAGGCUUGGAAAACAGGACUACCUACACCCAAGACCACUAAACAAAGACUACAAUUGAAUGCGAUCAACCAGACUGAGCUACUUAAAAUCUGCUGUCCCAGAAGCCCUGUCUUCAUGAUCUAGCAAUUUUCUCCAGCUCUAAGACCAAUAUGCUGUUCUUCUUGGUUGGUCCAUGUACCCUCCAGAUGCUUAGGGGUGCCCACCAUGCGGCCAAUGAAGCUCAGAAUGUCUGUGAAUGCAGCUCAGCACAAAAUCAUAAAUUUAUUUAAGACAUUAUGGGAUUUUUUGUGUGUGUGAUUUACAUGUCACAAUGUAUUUAAUGUGUGGCCCAAGACAACUCUUUUCCCAAUGUGGAAGAGAGAUGU